Molecule: ribosomal RNA, 253 nt
Filed under: uncultured bacterium
Lineage: Bacteria
Description: partial 16S ribosomal RNA
Rfam family: Bacterial small subunit ribosomal RNA
Source: RNAcentral
UACAGAGAGUGCGAACGUUGUUCGGAAUUACUGGGCUUAAAGCGCACGUAGGCGGCGCCACAAGUGCGGGGUGAAAUCCCACGGCUUACCCGUGGAACUGCCUUGUAGACUGUGGUGCUCGAGGAUGGUAGGGGAGAGCGGAACUCCUGGUGGAGCGGUGAAAUGCGUAGAUAUCAGGAGGAACACCGGUGGCGAAGGCGGCUCUCUGGUCCAUUUCUGACGCUAAGGUGCGAAAGCUAGGGGAGCAAACGGG